Long non-coding RNA from Mytilus trossulus (common blue mussel), 829 nucleotides. RefSeq lists it as uncharacterized. The record is from RefSeq and is a predicted model, not a curated record. The transcript has 3 exons. Lineage: Eukaryota; Metazoa; Mollusca; Bivalvia; Mytilida; Mytilidae.
CAUGUGUAAAGAAAAAAUCUCUGUGUAGUGAUAUUGGACAUGUUUCUAUUUUUAACAAAUGACUGAACUUAAUUAUUUGUGGUGAUUAGGAAAGUAGAGGAACAUAGAAUAAAUGUGUAAAAACUAUGGAGCUAUUGAAUGUGUUCAAAGUAUUAAAUUUUCAAAGAACUUAUUGUGUUAAAAAGGGGAUAUUUUACCACAAGGAGCCGCAUCACAAAAGGAUGUUCGGGGUUUGCUAAUUUACGGAAAAAGUAAUCUCACUUCGUACCCCGAAAAUUUAACCACAUAUGUGAAAAUGUCACAGCUUCGAAACGAGCUAUCAUACAUAUCCAAGUUUACGAUAUGGACUGAGCUACAGGAAAAAACGUUACCAUUAUCGCCUAUGGGAAAACAAUUAAAGAUAUUGAGCCAAUUUACAAAAAGAUAAAUCAGAAGUUUCCAGAGUGAUCUAUGGAUGAUUUCACCUUGUACACCCGGGAAAAUUGUGAAAAUGAUGUUCCAGACAUAUCAUUACUUUUUAACCUGAGAUGACAAACUAGAGGUUUUACAAGGUCCUGAAUAACUGAAAUGGACAAAAAUACACAGAUUUAUUCAGAAUGUCAUACCGAUGAAGAUCACAUAAAAAUAUUUGGAAAAAUCAGAACUAUGGAUUGCAAUAUGGGACAACAUCCCUAAUGCGCCUUGAAAUGAGGAACUCAAAAGUCAUGUGUAAAGAAAAAAUCUCUGUGUAGUGAUAUUGGACAUGUUUCUAUUUUUAACAAAUGACUGAACUUAAUUAUUUGUGGUGAUUAGGAAAGUAGAGGAACAUAGAAUAAAUGUGUAAAAACUA